RNAcentral lists this ribosomal RNA (429 nucleotides) under bacterium. Its description in RNAcentral is "partial 16S ribosomal RNA". It matches the Rfam family "Bacterial small subunit ribosomal RNA", at positions 355 to 776 of the family's 1533-position model. The record is from RNAcentral.
UAGGGAAUCUUCGGCAAUGGGGGCAACCCUGACCGAGCAACGCCGCGUGAGUGAAGAAGGUUUUCGGAUCGUAAAGCUCUGUUGUAAGAGAAGAACGUGUGUGAGAGUGGAAAGUUCACACAGUGACGGUAACUUACCAGAAAGGGACGGCUAACUACGUGCCAGCAGCCGCGGUAAUACGUAGGUCCCGAGCGUUGUCCGGAUUUAUUGGGCGUAAAGCGAGCGCAGGCGGUUUAAUAAGUCUGAAGUUAAAGGCAGGGGCUUAACCAUUGUUCGCUUUGGAAACUGUUAAACUUGAGUGCAGAAGGGGAGAGUGGAAUUCCAUGUGUAGCGGUGAAAUGCGUAGAUAUAUGGAGGAACCCCGGUGGCGAAAGCGGCUCUCUGGUCUGUAACUGACGCUGAGGCUCGAAAGCGUGGGGAGCAAACAGG